AAUGGGUCAGCGACUUAUAUUCUGUAGCAAGGUUAACCGAAUAGGGGAGCCGAAGGGAAACCGAGUCUUAACUGGGCGUUAAGUUGCAGGGUAUAGACCCGAAACCCGGUGAUCUAGCCAUGGGCAGGUUGAAGGUUGGGUAACACUAACUGGAGGACCGAACCGACUAAUGUUGAAAAAUUAGCGGAUGACUUGUGGCUGGGGGUGAAAGGCCAAUCAAACCGGGAGAUAGCUGGUUCUCCCCGAAAGCUAUUUAGGUAGCGCCUCGUGAAUUCAUCUCCGGGGGUAGAGCACUGUUUCGGCAAGGGGGUCAUCCCGACUUACCAACCCGAUGCAAACUGCGAAUACCGGAGAAUGUUAUCACGGGAGACACACGGCGGGUGCUAACGUCCGUCGUGAAGAGGGAAACAACCCAGACCGCCAGCUAAGGUCCCAAAGUCAUGGUUAAGUGGGAAACGAUGUGGGAAGGCCCAGACAGCCAGGAUGUUGGCUUAGAAGCAGCCAUCAUUUAAAGAAAGCGUAAUAGCUCACUGGUCGAGUCGGCCUGCGCGGAAGAUGUAACGGGGCUAAACCAUGCACCGAAGCUGCGGCAGCGACGCUUAUGCGUUGUUGGGUAGGGGAGCGUUCUGUAAGCCUGUGAAGGUGUGCUGUGAGGCAUGCUGGAGGUAUCAGAAGUGCGAAUGCUGACAUAAGUAACGAUAAAGCGGGUGAAAAGCCCGCUCGCCGGAAGACCAAGGGUUCCUGUCCAACGUUAAUCGGGGCAGGGUGAGUCGACCCCUAAGGCGAGGCCGAAAGGCGUAGUCGAUGGGAAACAGGUUAAUAUUCCUGUACUUGGUGUUACUGCGAAGGGGGGACGGAGAAGGCUAUGUUGGCCGGGCGACGGUUGUCCCGGUUUAAGCGUGUAGGCUGGUUUUCCAGGCAAA
RNAcentral lists this ribosomal RNA (923 nucleotides) under Escherichia coli. RNAcentral describes it as "partial 23S ribosomal RNA". It matches the Rfam family "Bacterial large subunit ribosomal RNA", at positions 614 to 1540 of the family's 2925-position model. The record is from RNAcentral. Lineage: Bacteria; Pseudomonadati; Pseudomonadota; Gammaproteobacteria; Enterobacterales; Enterobacteriaceae.